This is a long non-coding RNA of Alligator mississippiensis (American alligator), 6131 nucleotides long. RefSeq lists it as uncharacterized. Lineage: Eukaryota; Metazoa; Chordata; Crocodylia; Alligatoridae. The record is from RefSeq and is a predicted model, not a curated record. The transcript has 2 exons.
AGGCUCAGGCUCCGGUGGCAGCUCCCUGAAAGGCCCCGUGGGCUUGGGUCCGGGAAGCGAGCCCAGGCCAGGACGUGCGCCGCAGGAGUUUCAGAAGUAAGCUAUACGUUGUAACAAUGCUAACAAGGGCAGGAAUCAAGAGCCAGUGAAUCAGUGAUUGAAGGGUAACACAGUAGCAGGCAGCAGUUGACACCUAGGGAAACCACAGAUGGACCAAGGGAAGAAAUCAAUAGGAGAAAAUGUAGCAACCAGGAAUUCUCUAAACCUCAGUGUUCAAGGGCGAGAAGCCCUGGCCUGAGUUAAUCAACCCCAGGGACCAACUUUUGGGCUGAAUAUCUCCAGAUUGACUGCUCCCAGAGCCCUAUUCAAAAUUCAUCAACAGACUCCCAAACCUGCACGUACAUGCCGACAACCCCGGGGCUGACAGAUGUCAUUCAGUAGCCACUGAGGGGGAAGUCCCACGAGGGUCAACGACCCCUGGAUUGAUUGGGCAAACCUGAAAACUGGGGAGGAGUUACCAAAGUCUGCCAAGGACAGAUAAAAAGCAGUGAAACGUGACCCUCAGCGGUGCCCUCUUGAUCUCCAACUUGACCAGCACCCGACCUAUCGAGCCAGAAGGACCAGCCGGUGACUCCCUUCUGGAGGAUAACACCAUGCUGAAAGAAGCCUUGACUGGCCAUCAAUGGCAGACCCCAGCGCCUGUGGGAUAGGUAUACCUGACUCUUGUAGCUUGCUACUGUGUGUGUGCAUGUGUGGGGACCAGGCCCAAGGUUUAUGAUUUCAUUACAGUGUUUCAAUCCACCUAAUAAACCAGAAUUUUAAGGAUCCCGAGUUGGACAUUUGUAGCCAACAACACUGGGUCCUCCCUUUAAAUUGUUCAGUCUGAAUAACAAGCCAGUGAGAGCGCUGGCCAGAGUCCACCGACCUCGAACUUGGAAGAACCACGCCUGACAGAUCCAUCGGGGGGGGCUUCGUGCUGCUAAAGAGCCUGGUUACAAGUUGUGCUUUAAGCUUCCCAACUGUUGAUCUGGGUUAUAGCUUGGGUUGAGUGCAGUCAUAGUCAGGCUAAGAACCUCUCCCAGCCGCAUGGCCCUGACCUGCUUCUGUAGGGCUGGCUGGCAGGGCCUCAACUAGGAGCUACAGUCGUCCCCACAGACCCGCAGGGGGAGAGAAAAGGACCUGAUUUCCUGGGAUGCUGGAGAACCGAAACUUCAGUGGCUUCUCUAUGGGGAGUGGCCGCACGUUUGUGGAACACAAGCUGGAUAACGUGGGUCAGAGAUAAACCUGCCCUGGAGCAGCGUAACUUUAAGAUGCCCAAAGAAUACUUAAAACUAGUUGACAUGUCUUAAUGUGUGAGCAAUCCAGGGGUUAAGAGCUCCUCAAGCUGCCUAAAAUUAACCUGCAACAUGUCACAACCAAAUUAAGUAGUGCCCAUGUCACAAACAAGUAAUAACCAUUUAAAACAGUUUUUUCUGCACUAGGUUAACUAAGGGUUAACAAUAAUGAUAGUAACCACUUUUUUCUGCGCAUGUCAAAAAAAAAUUUAUUGCUGCGCCACUAACAGAGAUAAAAACUUUUGCCUUCUUUGCUUUAUAUAAAUCAUUAUAAUUGGUCAAAGAAAACAAGGAGUAAUCCUGUGAAAAUAACACCCUAGCAAAGACCGCUAGAUAAUUGGCGAUUCUAAUUAGACUUAUGACGUGGCAAAAAAACAAUUGGCUAUCAUACAAACAAAACCCGCUUAUAUUUUUCGCAAAGUCGAAGACAACUCUGCCCACACCUUGGAGUAAAUCUGACAAUUUGAUCAGUUGUCAGCGUCUUCCCGCCGCGACCUCCCUGGCGUACCCUUGCCCCACGUGCCCAAUAAGCCGACUGCCGGCCCGUAUAUAUAUAUCUGCAGAACGACUGAAUGACGAUCUCUAAGCUGUAACUAAGUAUCUCUGACCUCCGUCUUACACCACCUUGACGUGAGUAAACAAUCUUGCUUUGCAACCGAUAAGCGUCCGCCUAAUUAAUUCCACUCCAAGCGUCACAAGUACCCGCCUAACGGCCUUCUAAGGCCCCGGACCCUUAUCUGCCCGGGUGGGAGUCAGGAAAAGCUGCUGGCCGGCUGCCCUGGGUCCCAACACAACAAAGCCCAAAGAUUCAGACAGGGAUCACAUCAGGUGUGAAGUAAACACCUCUUGUUCUCGCUGUGUAUGUUGUCAGCAAUCCCUUGAUCUGAGGAUCUCUACCACGGCUUGUUGAUGGGUCUUGAGGUGACUAGAGUCCAAUCCUUGAGCCACAGAUCCAUUGGUAGAUGUUGUAGGCUUUCCAUGGAGGAGAGUAUGCUGUAGACCGGGAUUCCUCACCUUUUCCUUCCUCUGUUCUUUCUUCUCUGCUUUGAGGGCAAGACACUUUGCCUUGAAAUGGGCUGCUGCUUGGCUGAGGUUCCAGUGCUAGGCAAACAGUCACGGCAAGUCCGAAGCACAGGUCCAGGAGCUCAAACCAAGGUCCACUCUGGGCUUCUAGCCCUGUGUGCUUGAGGCUUGCCAUGCCUGUUUGCAAGCACGUGUGUUGUGGAAUCGCACAGAACUGUAUCUGUGUAUCCACAUCCACACUGGCACUACAGCUAUUCAGCAUUGGCAUUAAGAUUUCUUGGGGUGCAUUUUGGGAUCCUUAGAACUUCACUGACUUGAUCCACUUUAAGAACUUGUCCAUCCUUCCCCAGCUCCAUGUGGAAGUGUUUUUCACCUGCUGUCACAUUUGAGGCACUGUUGUCUUUUGUGUGCUUGUCAUUAAACAACACUUAGUGGCUUUUUACAGGAAUAUAAAUCUAAGUCCUUGUUUUUUGGUCCAGUUUCAAUUUGGGUAAUUACAUUCAGCCCACCUAAUUCCCCAUGCUUCAAUCAACUCCAAUAUUCUUUACUUCCCAGUCUAAAACUCAUUAGAGUAGGUGUACAUUCUGUUACAAUGGCUGUCUUCUAAAAAAAGAUAUAGUGAAACGACCUUCAUGUAUAGUGUUUACAAUUCUGAUAUAGUAUACAAAUCACUAAAUACAAAUUCCAAUAAAUUCUUGGAGCAAAGGCAAACUAACAUGAAUUGCUAUAGUCCUUUUCAUUAUAUGAAUGCUUCCUUUCUCCCUCUUUCUAGUUACAGUCUUGAUGCUCACCCUAUGCAAAGGACAGUCCGAACUAGACAUUUUUCCCCAUGUAGAAGAAGCAGCCUAAGGUAACUAUAGGAAUUUGAAUCCAAUCUUCCAGUGGCUGUUACGGAACACAGUGAAGAAUCACAGGAAAAGUCACUGUUUUCUAACAGUACAGAAGGAAUUUUACUAUGUUAAGGAACGAUGUUGUUCAGAAAACCUAUCCCUUUCCAUCUUGUUGUUUCAAUGCAGAGGUUCUACCUAGAACACUGAACAAGCCCAUCUUACCUUUGUUCCUGCUAUUGAUUUAAAGAAACUGUCUGUCCCCAAAUUGUCAUAUUGAAUGAAAUAGUUUGAAUGUUUGUAAUAGUUGCCCAUUAGCCAGUUUCAGGAAGAAGACAAGAUUUAUCUCCUUAUCUAGGCCAUUGUUUUGGUCUGUGUGUGAAAGGUCCUUUUAAUGUUUUAAAAUUGGUGAUGAACCAGAGUAAAGUGAAUGAAAUAGAGGAGCAUGGAGAGAAACCAAGUAAAAUAUCUGUGCAACCUACUGCACCUUCUCCAAUUGCUCCAUCCACUCCACCCCUAUAUGCAGAAGUUACAGUAGAAUUGAAAGAAUUAAAAGCUGACUGUGAGGUAGGAGAAGUAGCUAAAGGUAGAGCAGAGCCAAUACUGGAGGCAUGCCCUAUAGUAACUACCACUUGGAAACAACAAGGGACAAAUCCUGCAGUUAGGCAGAAUAUCUAUAGAGAAAGGAACAGGGAGGAAAUAGAAGAUUUGGCUAGGAGAACAGCACGACAUACUAAUGAAAAUUGCUGUGUGUGGCUAGGAAGGAUUAUAGAGGAAGAAAAUGGAAUAGGGACCCUAUUAAGUCCGGAGGAGGCCCUUCCACUAAUAAGAAAUUCGGGAUGGAGUAAGGGGGCAAUCCUCAUAAAUACCAGGAAUAUAAUUCCGGGAGGCAUGUAUCCCAUAACUUUAGCUGGAUUAAUUGCCACCGGGGUAAAAAAUCAUUUGGGAGCUCUAAACUUUCCCCAAAAUUUAGAAGGGGGUAUGAAUAAUAUCAGGUACAUAAUACGGGGAAUUAGUUUUGCCCAUUGGACAGCACCCCCAAACACCCUAAUGGCAGUACAACAGAGAUUAAGGAAUGAUUGUUUGUUUAUCAGCACUCCUGAACAAGUAAUUUGCAACAGGAUGUCGUUAGAGGUAGCAGCAAAUGUACUGAAAACUCCAGGAGUAAAAGCCUGGUUACUGCCGCUGGUGGGGCAGACACCCUGGGAGGUAGCUGAUCAAAUAGGAACCAUAGUGCAGGAGGAAGAAAUCAAGAAAAAGCCCAAAUUAAUAAUAUAGAACAUCAUGUGCACACUCCUUACCAUCCACAAUCUAAUGGGGUUGUGGAGAGACACAUUGGUAUUUUGAAGACAUAAUUGAAAACAAAUUUAAAAUCAAUUUCCUUUAAAAACUGGGAUGCAGUAUUGCAUGUAACCUUAAUUCAGUGCAAUAAUGAUAAAACCAUGUGGCUGAAACACGAAAAGAAAGAAUUUCCAGUGUGGACAUAUAAGUAUAAAAAAGAUGAUAAAGUGUGGAUACACUUACCCAAAGAAGAAAAAGUAACAAAAGGUGUAAUUGAUCAACUGGGGAAACAUCCCAACACUUAUUUUGUUUAACUGAGGAAAAUCAAACACUAACCUCAUGAAGCUAGGUCUCAUGAGGACCUAAGCAAUCAUUUAAUUUUGUUACAGGUGUCAAGGAUUGAAGUGGCAACAGUGGGAGAUCAAGAAUGAAAAUGAUCCCAGAGAUGAAAACUGGAUGCGGCUAACCAAUGCAACAUUAUGCAGACCAGUACAUAGACCACCCAAUGUGAUUCUGGGAUAUAAUGCUGACGUAUGGAAUCUCACAAUAUAUCGUUUAACUUGGAAACUGGACAAUUAGUGAUGUUGUCAAAGGACUAUGGAGAACACAUUACUUACCUGAAAUUACUCAACGCCAGCAAGAUCCUCAAUGCACCAUCUGCUUCGGUGUUAGAAGGACUAGCCAUGAUUGGAAAUGCAGUGGGGAAUGGUGUUAAAUCUACUAUACAACUAUGGAACACUAUAAAGACUGUAUUUUCGGGAAAAUGGGUGAUAUAUGUUACAGGAUUGUUUGGGUUAAUCAUUUUAGGAAAAUUAAUGUUAAUGUUGUCAUGGAAUUAUCAUAAUAAGUUUGCAAGGCUUAGUAAUGAAAUAUAAUUGUAAUCAAACUGCCUAAUGGGCACGGGGGGACACAAAUCUAUAUAGUAAAUAUUUUAGAAAAAACCUUUUAAUUGGAGUGGGAAUAGGGAUGGUUACAAUUGUGGCAUUUCCAUUAUGUCCAUUCCUUAUCAUAACUACCCACAUUUUUUGCUAUCAUGUACACAAGAACGUCACUGAAAAAUAAUUUAAUAUAUAUUUUUAAGUCAAUAUAAAGGCAUAAAUAAUGAAUGACGCCAACAAUUUUUUGUAUGAAAUCAGUGACGAAUUUAUUAAAGCAGUGCAAUAUAUGCAAACAACACUAGAGUAUACCGUGUCUUAGAGAAUAUUAUAUUGUGUAUCUGAAUGGUUUUAAGAUCAGUAUUAUGAGACAAAUCUUGAAGUUCUUAUUCAUACAAAACUCUUUUUUUUUGUCUGUGUAAGGAACUCAGGAUUUGUUGCAAGUAUUAUUGUAUUAGUUGUUGUUGUUGUUGUUGUUGUUGUAGAGAACGUAGAAGACAACACUGGAUGCACUCCUGACCCUGUUAAAAUCAGAUGAUUUCAAUGACAACAGAAUUUCAUCCGUUGUAUCUGCUUCAAAGAAUAUUUGUGUAGUCUAUGUGUAGUUGUAAGCAGCUUUAAGCUUUAAUUUUACAUGCAGUUUCAAUAGGCCAUAUAUUCAUUUAAAAAAAAUGUUUGAAAGGGAUGCACCUUGUUAACACCUGCCACUAGCUUAAAACAUGCCAUACUAUAAGAAUACUAUGCAUGUAUUAGGAACAGUAUUAAACGUGUCAUUAUUGUUUAAGGGCCAA